This is a small nucleolar RNA of Suncus etruscus (white-toothed pygmy shrew), 70 nucleotides long. RefSeq annotates it as small nucleolar RNA SNORD2. Lineage: Eukaryota; Metazoa; Chordata; Mammalia; Eulipotyphla; Soricidae. The record is from RefSeq and is a predicted model, not a curated record. The transcript has a single exon.
GUGUGAAAUUUGGGCAAUCAUCUUUUGGUACUAACCUGAAAUGAAAAGAAUACUCACUGCUAAUUCUCAC